AGAACGAACGCUGGCGGCACGCCUAACACAUGCAAGUCGAGCGCCCAGCAAUGGGAGCGGCGGACGGGUGAGGAACACGUGGGAACAUGCCUUUCGGUACGGAACAACUCAGGGAAACUUGAGCUAAUGCCGUAUGCGCCGGUAACGGGAAAGAUUUAUCGCCGAAAGAUUGGCCCGCGUUGGAUUAGCUAGUUGGUGAGGUAACGGCUCACCAAGGCGACGAUCCAUAGCUGGUUUGAGAGAACGACCAGCCACACUGGGACUGAGACACGGCCCAGACUCCUACGGGAGGCAGCAGUGGGGAAUCUUGGACAAUGGAGGAAACUCUGAUCCAGCGAUGCCGCGUGAGUGAUGAAGGCCUUCGGGUUGUAAACUCUUUUACCCGGGAAGAUAAUGACUGUACCGGGAGAAUAAGCUCCGGCUAACUUCGUGCCAGCAGCCGC
RNAcentral lists this ribosomal RNA (443 nucleotides) under uncultured bacterium. Its description in RNAcentral is "SSU rRNA". It matches the Rfam family "Bacterial small subunit ribosomal RNA", at positions 26 to 518 of the family's 1533-position model. The record is from RNAcentral.